Molecule: ribosomal RNA, 244 nt
Filed under: uncultured bacterium
Lineage: Bacteria
Description: partial 16S ribosomal RNA
Rfam family: Bacterial small subunit ribosomal RNA
Source: RNAcentral
CGUAAAGCGCAUGCAGGUGGUUUGUUAAGUUCAGAUGUGAAAGACCCGGGGCGUCAACCUCCGGAAUUGCAUUUGUAAACUAGGCAAACUAGAGUACUGUAGAGGGGGGUAGGAAUUUCAGGUGUAGCGGUGAAAUAGCGUAGAGAUCUGAAGGAAUACCGGUGGCGAAGGCGGCCCCCUCGGACAGAUACUGACACUCAGAUGCGAAAGCGUGGGGAGCAAACAGGAUUAGAUACCCUGGUAG